This 63-nucleotide transfer RNA is filed under the name Pseudoneureclipsis achim. RNAcentral describes it as "tRNA-Thr". The record is from RNAcentral. Lineage: Eukaryota; Metazoa; Arthropoda; Insecta; Trichoptera; Polycentropodidae.
GUUUUUAUAAUUUAAUUUAAAAUAUUGAUUUUGUAAAUCAAAAAUAAGAUAACUUUAAAAACU